Molecule: long non-coding RNA, 1363 nt
Organism: Mercurialis annua (annual mercury)
Lineage: Eukaryota; Viridiplantae; Streptophyta; Magnoliopsida; Malpighiales; Euphorbiaceae
Exons: 6
Source: RefSeq, a predicted model, not a curated record
AAAGACUCGAUUUGUAUACUUUUUUAUGAGAGUAUAUAAUUUUCUUGAUUAGAAAUCUAAGGGAAUCUCUACUUUCUAAUAAUUGUUAAUAUUGCCGUAACCAUAAAGUAAAAUUUUGAGCAAAACAUUCCCACCAUAUUUUUAAGGGUUUCCCGCUCUCUCUUUUCAUUAGAGACCCACUUUCUUUUUAAGUCAUAUCUACUAUUGUAUUCUUAUAAAACUCGCUGCUCAUGUCCACUUUCUUUUUAAGUCAUAUCUAAUAAAAAAACAAAUUCUCUAAUUUUAUUCUUAUGAAACUUGCUGCUAUACAACUCUUAUUUACUCUUCUCCUAAUUAAAUUCAGUUCAUCACAAUCAUAUUUUUUCAAUUUUAUUUUAUAUAAUUUUCUUGCUUUUUUUUUGUUUAGCUAUCUCCGAAUUUCGUUUUGAUUCAAUUUAACGAUUGAAUCUGCUCUUCUCGACUCAUUACAAACAAUUCCUCUACUAACCUAACUCUAGAAGCCUGCAAAACAAACCCAAAAUCAACAACCUUUCCUACAGAUAUCACAAAAUUACCCAAAUGGAUAAUCUUAUAAAAGGCUGUGUUAAUUUCACCUGGUGAUGAUCAAUUGUGGUGGCGGAAUUAUUCAAGGAGCUACACGGAUUACUGUACGGCAAGUGGUGCUGAACGGCACACUGUCUAUUGCGUUUUGCACCGUUAUGUAAUCGCUGGAGCCAUCUCGGGCCAGCGUCAGCACUCUACUCGCCAUUGAUUAUAUAAAGGUUGUUCCUUCCCUCAGCAAGCUGCUUCUAUUCCAUUGAGCAAAGAUAUGCACCGAUUGGCUUCACCAUUCUUGGAGAAUAGACUUGCUGAGGGAGCUGAAGUGGAAAUGGAAGUAAUUCCAAUGAAUGAUAACAAUCAUGAGCUGUCAAACUCAUUUAAGGUUGCGUCACCUUUGGUUGUGGAUGAAACUCUGCUGGAGAAAGUACUAGGGAUGGGCAUAUGUAGGCGGUUUUGGACCACGUAAAACUUUCCCUGAAUCUGUUAUCCUAUGCUAUGAGUCGGCCUAAGAAGUUAAGAACUCAUAGUUGCAAUAUGGAUUAUAUCUUCUGCUUCUGUCCUUGAUGUGGUGAAGUUUGAAGUUCAGCUUUACAGAACUCGGGAGGAGAAAUACUUGCUCGAUUUUCAUGCGCUUUCAAGAAUUGUUUAAUGGCAGUAAAUUUCAUCUCAUGAAGUCUCUACUAUUCUAUCCAACAAUUUUGGGUGUGCGUUACUUUUCAAAACUCAUGUGCUCAAUUACAUUUUAUAUGUGCUAAUUUCUUUUGUUGAAAUUGAACCCCGAUGUCUUAGUAUGGAUGAAUUUAGUUAAUUUUUUACCCUUUCA